ACUUGAAUAUUAGUAGUUAUAGGCUUUAAAUUCAAAGGAUUUGGCGGUAUUUUAGUCUUGUUAGAGGAACCUGUUCUAUAAAUGAUACUACACGAAGAAUCUUACUUACUUUUGCUUUCAGUUUGUAUACCGUCAUUAUUAGAUAACCUUUGUUGAGAAAGUUAUUGGGGCGCAAGGAGUUAAAUAUAUUAGAUCAAGGUGCAGCUCAUAGGUAAGAAGAAAUGGGUUACAAUAAAAUUUAUUUAAACGUAUUGUUAGUUGAAUAACUAGCAUGAAGGAGGAUUUAAUUGUAAUGUAAAUUUUAACAAGUUAACAUGAUAUGAGAACUAGAAUAUGUACACAUACGCCCGUCGC
This 354-nucleotide ribosomal RNA is filed under the name Cherax dispar. Its description in RNAcentral is "partial 12S ribosomal RNA". Lineage: Eukaryota; Metazoa; Arthropoda; Malacostraca; Decapoda; Parastacidae. The record is from RNAcentral.